GGAUGUGAGGGUGAUCUGACUGGGAUAUCUGUCACCCCAUUGAUCGCCAGGGUUGAUUCGGCUGAUCUGGCUGGCUAGGCUAGGAGGGUGUCCCCUUCCUCCCUCACCGCUCUAUGUGGGUCCCUCCUGAAGCUGCACGGAGUGGAUGGCCUUCCCCGAAUAGAGAAGGACCGGUCUUCUGUCAAGGGUAUAUGAGUAGCUGUGCUCCCCUGCUAGAAACAAGCUCUCAAGAUAAAAGAUACAUAUUUUUUUCUUACAAAA
RNAcentral lists this small nuclear RNA (261 nucleotides) under Erinaceus europaeus (western European hedgehog). RNAcentral describes it as "7SK RNA". It matches the Rfam family "7SK RNA". From Rfam's summary of the family: 7SK was discovered as an abundant small nuclear RNA in the mid-70s but a possible function has only recently been suggested. Lineage: Eukaryota; Metazoa; Chordata; Mammalia; Eulipotyphla; Erinaceidae. The record is from Rfam by way of RNAcentral.